RNAcentral lists this ribosomal RNA (251 nucleotides) under Salmonella enterica subsp. enterica serovar Typhimurium. Its description in RNAcentral is "partial 16S ribosomal RNA". It matches the Rfam family "Bacterial small subunit ribosomal RNA", at positions 545 to 795 of the family's 1533-position model. The record is from RNAcentral. Lineage: Bacteria; Pseudomonadati; Pseudomonadota; Gammaproteobacteria; Enterobacterales; Enterobacteriaceae.
UCGGAAUUACUGGGCGUAAAGCGUGCGCAGGCGGUUAUGUAAGACAGAUGUGAAAUCCCCGGGCUCAACCUGGGAACUGCAUUUGUGACUGCAUGGCUAGAGUACGGUAGAGGGGGAUGGAAUUCCGCGUGUAGCAGUGAAAUGCGUAGAUAUGCGGAGGAACACCGAUGGCGAAGGCAAUCCCCUGGACCUGUACUGACGCUCAUGCACGAAAGCGUGGGGAGCAAACAGGAUUAGAUACCCUGGUAGUC